This 70-nucleotide transfer RNA is filed under the name Camelus bactrianus (Bactrian camel). It matches the Rfam family "tRNA". Rfam says of the family: Transfer RNA (tRNA) molecules are approximately 80 nucleotides in length. Lineage: Eukaryota; Metazoa; Chordata; Mammalia; Artiodactyla; Camelidae. The record is from Rfam by way of RNAcentral. RNAcentral also lists the same sequence under 1 other name.
GUGGUAAUAGCUCAGUGGAAGAGUACCUGCCUAGCAUACAGGAGGCCUGGGCUCAAUCCCCAGGACCACC